ACGUCUUCCCGCAAAUUACAUCGAUGCCACCGCCAAGUCGCCGAACCAUCGAUCUUUUUCUCUAUUCUCUUUGUCUCCACGGGCGCCGCCCGCCGGACUCCACCGCCCAAGGCAACACCGAAGGACGAGAUCUCCACAGCUGCCGCCGCGCUCCCCGACCAGAUCUCCAUGGCUGCAAUCGUGCUCCCGGUCGAGGACAGCCCCGCCGCAACGUUCCCCGACUAACUCCACGCCCUGGGACCCGGCAAUAGGGCUACCACCCUGCACUGAGAGCUUCCGCGCAGCGGCCCCUCAUGGUCCUCGGCGACCUCCUCCUCAUCUGCGCGCCGCCACCACCGGCUUGCGCCGCCGCGUCAACAUCGCAACCCCACGUGAAGCACCACUCACCGUGCAGCCCGUCCGCCGACAUCCUCGUGCGCUGCGAGCACCACGCUGCGAGCCCGUCCGUCCACAUCCCGGGAACUCAACCGUCGCGCGCCUCCCGGGUACCAGCCCGCCUCUCCUUCGGUCGCUAUCCCUUGGCCGUCACCUCCUCCAGCCGAGCUCCACCGCCGUCCAGCAGCCAUCCGGCCGCACUUAGGGAUUUCCAAGUCCCAACUAUUGACCUCUCUGUUAGGGAUUUCCAAGUCCCAACUGCAUGUGUGCUCGCAAAGUAGUGUGUUCUCUUGCUGCUAAUUGGAGGAUUAAUAGUGUUCUCAACAAAGCUACCUGAUCGAUCUUCGUAUGCUUGGAUUGGUUUGUUAACGAAGAACUGAAGUACUAGCUUCUCACAGCUUAGUCUGGUGUUCACACCGCUUAUUAUUGUUGGUUUGAUGUCUAAUUUUGGUUGACUUGCUACUUGACUUUUGGUACUCAAUUCAGUGCAAAACCUGGAUUUGUACUUAGCAGCAGAUAAUGAAUAUCACCCGAUUCCAUAAUUGUUUGCUUUGAUUUUUCAGGGGUGGAGUUGUGCAUAAGAUACUCAAAAGGUCUGAAAAGGACUCAAAAGACUGGUACUCAAAAGGUCUGAAAAGAGGAAUACUACAAGAACAUGAUCUAUGGUCCUUCUGUUAACAUGAAAAGUACAUAUUUUUUGUGGAGAAUGAGGAGUGCAUCUUUUAAGGGCUUAUGACUUGCAGUUCUUCUAAAAUCAAAGAAUCUUUAAUAUUAAAAUGAAACCGGAUGAAGAACUCAGAGGCCGAUGGGGAAAGAACAUGAAGUUAUCUUUUAUAUAGUCCAUCCUGGAGGCUUCAUGAUUAUGGUACUAAGUAGGGUUGUUUACAUCUUAAUUAACAUUUGGCAUGCAGAUAUUAUUUCUUUAUAGCUUCCUUUGGAGACCAUGUUUUGUGGGUUAUAUUAUCAGAUAUUGACUGCACUUUCGAAUAUCAACUUAAUGUGUCUUGGAGUUGUAGUGGGCAAUACCUUUUUAUCCCGGCGAUGCUAUCUAUAUACACCGUAAUUUUCAGAAGGAAAACAUUGUUGUCUUCCGAGAAAGUAGAUUAUAGAGAGAAAAUCUUCAGAAGAAAUCUUUUUUAAAGGAUGUUUGGUGCUCAUCAAAAAAGACCAAAGAGAUGAUGUUUUGAUGCAUGUUUAUUUUGUUGCUCCGUUGCAACCCACAUGCAUUUCAUUUGAACUCCUUCUUGAUGAGACUACUACUAGCUUCUUCAGCUGAUGCUUCUCCAGGUCAGUUAAUUGUUUUGCUUCUACAACAUCUGGUAUGUGUUGGAGUGGUCACCUUGAGACUAGAGAGAGAGAGAGGGCGAAACAUUAUUUGAUCUAUUCCUGAAUUAUUGUUUGAGUAAAUAUGUCCUGUAAGAUUAUGCACAUCGAAGAUAAAUUUUAAUUCCUACUUUGAAAAUUAUGAGCAUCAGGCUGCCCUUAUCUAUGAUUUAGCUGACAUGGAUGUUUCUAUAUUUUUAAAUGGCUGACCAGUGACCCUUCUAAUUAGAUUUAAUCAAGCAUAGCGCUGCAAUACAAAUUAUGAACAGUUUGGUCAGGAUAUGGAAUUAUUUCAAUGCUCCAUUUUUUCAAUUUAAUGUACAGUUGGUCCAAACUAAAAGAUUAAAGUCUGAACUUCUGCUUGGCAUCUUUAGUUCUUAACAGAGAUGUGAAUUUACAUCUCUUGCCUUUUUUCAGGGUGUUAAACCGGAUGCACGGAAGGAGAGGCUAGGUUCAAACACAUCUGCUCGAAAUGUAUAAAUGUUUGUGUCUCGCUAUAGUUACCUGGAGGCAGAAUAUACAGAGCAAAAUAUCUUGACCCAGCUGUUUGGUCUUUAAGAGAUAACUAGCAUUCCUUUAAUUGAUGCCUUUAUAAUUUUUUUGUUCCAUAUCAACGCACGAGCUUUUAACUA
Molecule: long non-coding RNA, 2330 nt
Organism: Brachypodium distachyon (stiff brome)
Lineage: Eukaryota; Viridiplantae; Streptophyta; Magnoliopsida; Poales; Poaceae
Exons: 3
Source: RefSeq, a predicted model, not a curated record